This 329-nucleotide long non-coding RNA is filed under the name Androctonus crassicauda. Lineage: Eukaryota; Metazoa; Arthropoda; Arachnida; Scorpiones; Buthidae. The record is from RNAcentral.
AGAGCGUCUCCAGCCCUUUGUCAUCUGUGGUGAAGAUGGAAUCUUAAAAUACAUUUGGAGUUUUAUCUGUUUUUACAAAUACAUUGAUGGCCUAAGUUCUCCCUUGUCUGCUGCCAUUUGAGUUGUAAGGGAUUCCUGUUGCUAAAUACGAAGAACGUGGAACACUCAUGGCCUCUGUGUCUGGGGGAAGGAAGGAAAACAUUUCUUUCUUAUGGGCUUUAUGCUCAGUUUUUGGAAACACCAGUGUCAUACUCAGCUUUCAAAGAAUCAGAAUGCAUUUUAAGACAACUAGGUUGAGGAGAAGGCAUUGAAGAAUACAUUAACUUGCU